ACUCCUACGGGAGGCAGCAGUGGGGAAUAUUGCACAAUGGGCGCAAGCCUGAUGCAGCGACGCCGCGUGGGGGAUGAAGGCCUUCGGGUUGUAAACCCCUUUCAGCAGGGAAGAAGCGAAAGUGACGGUACCUGCAGAAGAAGCGCCGGCUAACUACGUGCCAGCAGCCGCGGUAAUACGUAGGGCGCAAGCGUUGUCCGGAAUUAUUGGGCGUAAAGAGCUCGUAGGCGGUUUGUCGCGUCUGCUGUGAAAUCCCGAGGCUCAACCUCGGGCCUGCAGUGGGUACGGGCAGACUAGAGUGUGGUAGGGGAGACUGGAAUUCCUGGUGUAGCGGUGGAAUGCGCAGAUAUCAGGAGGAACACCGAUGGCGAAGGCAGGUCUCUGGGCCACAACUGACGCUGAGGAGCGAAAGCGUGGGGAGCGAACAGGAUUAGAUACCCUGGUAGGCUCUGC
RNAcentral lists this ribosomal RNA (453 nucleotides) under uncultured bacterium. RNAcentral describes it as "bacterial SSU rRNA". It matches the Rfam family "Bacterial small subunit ribosomal RNA", at positions 335 to 800 of the family's 1533-position model. The record is from RNAcentral.